Scomber japonicus (chub mackerel) is the source of this 313-nucleotide long non-coding RNA. RefSeq lists it as uncharacterized. The transcript has 3 exons. The record is from RefSeq and is a predicted model, not a curated record. Lineage: Eukaryota; Metazoa; Chordata; Actinopteri; Scombriformes; Scombridae.
GCAGAGGUUUUAUUUUUGAGCUCAACCGUCAAAGCCUUUCAAUGCUGGUACUUUACUGUCACUGAUUAUAAUCAGCUUUAUAUUAAAACAAGCCACCAAAACUGGAACUGCUACCACUGAAUAACGAUAAUAGUGUGUUGUGAACAUUUUAUAAUACAUUUCACAUAUUUCAACAGUGGAGAGGAAGUGAUAGAAAGACACAGCUUCAACCAAGAACUGGAGGAGAUUAUCAGAACUGUUCUGGGCAACCUGGAGAAUCUCCAGCCCUUCUCCAGCACCAACUUCACUGUCUUCCCUUAUAAGAAACGGUGGA